AGUGAUUUUGAAUCCCAGCAAAUCUCCUAUGUCUCACUCAGGGGCUCUAAAGUGUGUUCUGCAGGCCAGCAGCAUCGGCGUCACCUGGAAACAUGUCCAAAAUGAAAAUUAUUUGGCCCCACCCAGACCUGUUGACUCAGAAACUCAAGAGGUGAGGGCCAGCAGUCCGUUUUAGCGAGGCUUCCAUAGGAUUCUGAUGCACACUCAACUUUGAAAACCACCAUUUGUGGUAGAGUCUACCCCCUGCCUUAAUGGGUGAUCAGUAUGGAGAAGUCACAUUUGGUAGAUUUUCCCUUGUAAACAUUUC
This 307-nucleotide long non-coding RNA is filed under the name Homo sapiens (human). RNAcentral's name for it is "non-protein coding lnc-C9orf152-3:1". The record is from RNAcentral. Lineage: Eukaryota; Metazoa; Chordata; Mammalia; Primates; Hominidae.